Molecule: long non-coding RNA, 142 nt
Organism: Lolium rigidum
Lineage: Eukaryota; Viridiplantae; Streptophyta; Magnoliopsida; Poales; Poaceae
Exons: 3
Source: RefSeq, a predicted model, not a curated record
UCCUUCCGGCGAGAGGUCGAUCUGCCGUUCCGAGAUGCUAUUUCUAAGUCUAUUACUCUUGAGGUGAUUGCCAAAAUAAUGCAAGACAGAGGUUCAAGAUUACAGGCAGUUCCUGCCAGGACCUACCGAAGGAAAUGAUGAG